GACGAACGCUGGCGGCGCGCUUAACACAUGCAAGUCGAACGGAAAGGCCUGCUUUCCCUUGUGGAUUGCGGGUACUCGAGUGGCGAACGGGUGAGUAACACGUGAGUGAUCUGCCCCCAACUUGGGUAUAAGCCUGGGAAACUGGGUCUAAUUCCCGAUAGGACUGCAGGGUGGUGCCUGUGGUGGAAAACGAUUUUCUAGUGGUUGGGGAUGAGCCCGCGGCCUAUCAGCUUGUUGGUGGGGUAAUGGCCUACCAAGGCGGCGACGGGUAGCCGGCCUGGGAGGGUGGACGGCCACAUUGGGACUGGGAUACGGCCCAGACUCCUACGGGAGGCAGCAGUGGGGAAUAUUGCACAAUGGGCGGAAGCCUGAUGCAGCGACGCCGCGUGGGGGAUGACGGCCUUCGGGUUGUAAACUCCUUGCGACCGCGAGGAAGCCACCUGGUUGGAAGGGUGGUGACGGUAGUGGUAGAAGAAGCACCGGCUAACUACGUG
Molecule: ribosomal RNA, 494 nt
Filed under: uncultured bacterium
Lineage: Bacteria
Description: partial 16S ribosomal RNA
Rfam family: Bacterial small subunit ribosomal RNA
Source: RNAcentral